RNAcentral lists this ribosomal RNA (401 nucleotides) under Salmonella enterica subsp. enterica serovar Hadar. RNAcentral's name for it is "partial 23S ribosomal RNA". It matches the Rfam family "Bacterial large subunit ribosomal RNA", at positions 161 to 600 of the family's 2925-position model. Lineage: Bacteria; Pseudomonadati; Pseudomonadota; Gammaproteobacteria; Enterobacterales; Enterobacteriaceae. The record is from RNAcentral.
AAUCCAUAGGUUAAUGAGGCGAACCGGGGGAACUGAAACAUCUAAGUACCCCGAGGAAAAGAAAUCAACCGAGAUUCCCCCAGUAGCGGCGAGCGAACGGGGAGGAGCCCAGAGCCUGAAUCAGCAUGUGUGUUAGUGGAAGCGUCUGGAAAGGCGCGCGAUACAGGGUGACAGCCCCGUACACAAAAGCGCAUGUGCUGUGAGCUCGAUGAGUAGGGCGGGACACGUGGUAUCCUGUCUGAAUAUGGGGGGACCAUCCUCCAAGGCUAAAUACUCCUGACUGACCGAUAGUGAACCAGUACCGUGAGGGAAAGGCGAAAAGAACCCCGGCGAGGGGAGUGAAAAAGAACCUGAAACCGUGUACGUACAAGCAGUGGGAGCACCCUUUGGGGUGUGACUGC